UUGGAGGGCAAGUCUGGUGCCAGCAGCCGCGGUAAUUCCAGCUCCAAUAGCGUAUAUUAAAGUUGUUGCAGUUAAAAAGCUCGUAGUUGAAUUUCGGGGUUCUACCGUUGGUCGGGCUUUGUCUGUACUGGUGUGUAGAAUUUCUACCUUCUGGGGAACCAUCAUGCUAUUAAUUUAGCGUGGCGGGAAACCAGGACCUUUACCUUGAAAAAAUUAGUGUGUUCAAAGCAGGCUUAUGUCUGAAUACAUUAGCGUGGAAUAAUAGAAUAGGACGGUGGUCCUGUUUUGUUGGUUUCUGAAUCACCGUAAUGAUUAAUAGGGAUAGUUGGGGGCAUUAGUAUUCAAUUGUCAGAGGUGAAAUUCUUGGAUUUAUUGAAGACUAACUUCUGCGAAAGCAUUUGCCAAGGAUGUUUUCAUUAAUCAAGAACGAAAGUUAGGGGAUCGAGGACGAUCAGAUACCGUCGUAGUCUUAACCAUAAACUAUGCCGACUAGGGAUCGGACGAUGUUAAUUUUUCUUGACUCGUUCGGCGCCUUACGGGAAAC
RNAcentral lists this ribosomal RNA (544 nucleotides) under uncultured Glomeromycotina. RNAcentral's name for it is "SSU rRNA". It matches the Rfam family "Eukaryotic small subunit ribosomal RNA", at positions 548 to 1098 of the family's 1831-position model. Lineage: Eukaryota; Fungi; Glomeromycota. The record is from RNAcentral.